AGAGAGAGACAUGCGCGCAUAUCAAUAAGCGGAGGAAAAGAAACUAACAAGGAUUCCCUUAGUAACGGCGAGUGAAGCGGGAAGAGCUCAAAUUUGAAAUCUUCAAGGUUUUACCUUGACGAAUUGUAGUUUAAAGAAGUGUUUUCUGCUGAAGUUUUGGUAAAAGUUCUUUGGAAUAGGACAUCAUAGAGGGUGAGAAUCCCGUAUUUGACCAUUAUUUUCAGCUUUGUGAUACACUUUCAAAGAGUCGGAUUGUUUGGGAAUGCAGUCCAAAAUGGGUGGUAAAUUUCAUCUAAAGCUAAAUAUUGGCGAGAGACCGAUAGCGAACAAGUACCGUGAGGGAAAGAUGAAAAGAACUUUGAAAAGAGAGUUAAACAGUACGUGAAAUUGUCAAAAGGGAAGCGUUUGACACCAGUGUUGUUUUCUCGAAAAUCAAUUAAAAAUGGCUCGAUUUUGUAUUGCUGAGACCUUAAAAGCUCACUGUACAUUUUUCGUGUCUUUUUUAAUGCACUUUUCGUUUAACAAGUCAACAUCAGUUUCUUUUGUUGUAAAAGGGUCAUUGGAAGGUGGCUUUCCUUUUCGGAGAAAGUGUUUAUAGCCUUUGGCCUCUGCAAUCGGAGAGACUGAGGUCUGCAGCGUAGACUCUUCGGGGUUAGAUACAUUUGUGCUAAGUUAUAGCUUUUUAUAGACAACUUGUUGACUAUAAUUAGUCUUGUAGCUUACUCGCUUAUGCUAUUUUACCUACGCUUAGGAUGUUGAAGAUGUAGCACAUCAU
RNAcentral lists this ribosomal RNA (775 nucleotides) under uncultured Neocallimastigales. RNAcentral describes it as "partial large subunit ribosomal RNA". It matches the Rfam family "Eukaryotic large subunit ribosomal RNA", at positions 23 to 634 of the family's 3401-position model. Lineage: Eukaryota; Fungi; Neocallimastigomycota; Neocallimastigomycetes; Neocallimastigales. The record is from RNAcentral.